CUUCCGCGUGCUGUGAGAAAAUUAAAGUUGCAGCGUUUAUCGACUUGACAAGAUUUGUAAAAUACAGGGAUGGUGUGGUCUAGUAGCUGAAGCUCAAGGCUAGAAACCAAGAGGAUCAUGAUGGCUCAAGCUGUGACCUAUCAUCAGUGUGAUCUUGCGACCUUUGACCUCGGGUUGCCUGCUACAAGACUGCCUGCUUACUUUAAGAGCACAUUAAGAAUCACCAGGUCUCUGGCUGAAGGGUGUAACACGAGCCCACGGUGGAGAAGAACAGCCACGCAAGCAGCUGCAGAGGGUGCGAUGCGUUCGGGACGUGUCUUCUCGAGACCGAGCCAUUCAGCGGCGCUCCGAGGAAGAAUAGGGGGCGUUAGGACCAAGAGGUGCGUGUGUCUCUUUGAGGAAAGAACAAAGGCUGACAUCUCCAAGAUGAAAGCCGGGUGAAAUCUAAACUAAUUAAACCCAAUGAGGCAGCUGGCCGGGGUUCAAAAAGCAGCCACACCAAGAAGCCAUUUAAACUUUCACAUUCGCUCCAGGCUCAAAGAAAACAGUUAGGGUGGGGAGCCAAAAAAAAAAGUUCAAAAACCAACCUGGCGGAGAGUCAAACAGGUGUAUUAAAGAAAACGUCCACGCUGUGUGUUUGUUUCAAAACGAACCCCAAAGGGCGGGUGGACCGCAAUCUGGUGCCUAUUUCAUUAAUAAAGGCACGGUCACAGCAAGCUCUUCCUAGGGUUUGGACUCGAGAGCUUUUGGAUAGUUGACGAGAAUUGCUUUUUAAAACCCCAUCUAAAACUAUUUUAAACAACAUUCUCUUGUAAUGAUUGUUCAUGCAACCGUUAU
Sinocyclocheilus rhinocerous is the source of this 837-nucleotide long non-coding RNA. RefSeq lists it as uncharacterized. The transcript is spliced from 3 exons. Lineage: Eukaryota; Metazoa; Chordata; Actinopteri; Cypriniformes; Cyprinidae. The record is from RefSeq and is a predicted model, not a curated record.